UGUGUCACCAGAACCCUACCUCCAGGAAGCUCAGCAGAGAAACAGAGAGAGAGAGAGAGACUCUGUUUGUUUGGGAGAAAGUAAAGCCAGAGAAGAAGGGUAUCUGCCUGGUAACCCAGAGAAUAAUUCCAGAUUUUAUCAAAGAAAACCAAGGUGGUAACCUCUAUAAGUCUGCAAGAACCAUAGCGUUUUUGCUAUGGGUGCCCCCUAACACAGAUAUGACUUAGAUCCCAAUAUCCAAGUCCCUUUGAAUACAUGAAAAGCCUUCCCAGAAAGGCUAAGUAGAGAAGCCCAGACUGCAAAGACUACAAUAAACACUAAACUCUUCAGUGCCCAAACACAAACAAACAUCUGCAAGCCCAUCCAGAAAAACAUUACCUCAUCAAAUAAACUAAAUAAGGCACCAGGGACGAAUCCUGGAGAAACAGAGAUAUGUGACCUUUCAGAUAGAUAAUUCAAAAUAGUUGCUUUGAGGAAACUCAAAGAAAUCCAAGAUAACACAGAGAAGGAAUUCAGAAUUCUCUCAGAUAAUUUUAACACAGAGAUUGAUAUAAUUUUAAAGAAUCAAUUGAAUUCUGAAAUUCAAUUGACAUAAUAAAGAAUGCAUCAGAGUGCCUUAAUAGCAGAAUUAAUCAAGGAGAAGAACUGGUAAGCUUGAAGACAGGCCAUUUGAAAAUACAGAGUCAGGGAAGACAAAAGAAAAAAGAGUAAAAAGCAAUGAGGCACAUCUACGAGAUCUAGAAAAUAAUCUCAAAAGGGCAAAUCUAACAGUUAUUGGCCUUCAAGAGGAGGUAGAGAAAGAAAUAGGGGUAGAACGUUUAUUCAAGAGAUAGUAACAGAGAACUUCCCAAACCAAAAAAAGAUAUUAAUAUUCAAGACAUGAAGUGGGUAACAAGAGGGUUAUGGAACAUGAAGCAGAUAUAACCCAAAGAAGACUACCUCAAGGCAUUUAAUAAUCAAAACUCCCAAAGGUCAAGUAAAAAGAAUGAAUCUUAAAAGCAACAAGAGGAAGGAAACAAAUAACAUACAAUGGAGCUCCAAUAUGUCUGCCAGUAGACUUUCCAGGGGAAAUUUUACAGGCCAGGAGAGAGAAGCAUGACAUAUUUACUGCUAAAGGAAAAACCUUCACCCUAGAAUAGUAUAUACCACAAAAAUAUCUUUCAAACAUGAAGGAAAAAUAAAGACUUUCCCCAGACAGACAAAAGCUGAGGGAUUUCAUCAACACUAGACCUGUGCUAAAAGAAAUGAUAAAGAGAAUGCUACAAUCAGAAGGUAAAGGACACUAAUGAGCAAUAAGGAAUCAUCUGAAGGUACAAAUCUCACUGGUAAAAGUAAGUACACAGAAAAACACACAAUAUUAAAACACUGUAACUCUGGCGUGUAAACUACUCUUAUGUUAAGUAGAAAGACUAAAAGAUGAACCAAUCAAAAAUAUAACUACAACAACUUUUCAAGACAGUACAAUGCGACAUAAAGAGAAACAACAAAAAGUUAAAAAGCAAGAGAACAAAGAUAAAGUGUAGAGUUUUUAUUUUUUGUGUGUUUGUUUAUGCAAUCAUUGUUAAGUUGUCAUCAGUUUAAAAUAAAGGAUUAUAAGAUAGUAUUUGCAAGCCAUGUGGUAACCUCAAAAAAAAAAAA
This is a long non-coding RNA of Macaca fascicularis (crab-eating macaque), 1638 nucleotides long. NCBI's taxonomy places the organism in Eukaryota, Metazoa, Chordata, Mammalia, Primates, Cercopithecidae. The record is from Ensembl.